UACGUAGGGGGCAAGCGUUGUCCGUAUUUAUUGGGCGUAAAGAGCGUGUAGGCGGCCAGGUAGGUCCGUUGUGAAAACUCGAGGCUCAACCUCGAGACGCCGAUGGAAACCAUCUGGCUAGAGUCCGGAAGAGGAGAGUGGAAUUCCCGGUGUAGCGGUGAAAUGCGCAGAUAUCGGGAAGAACACCCGUGGCGAAGGCGGCUCUCUGGAACGCAACUGACGCUGAGACGCGAAAGCGUGGGGAGCAAACAGG
Molecule: ribosomal RNA, 253 nt
Filed under: uncultured bacterium
Lineage: Bacteria
Description: partial 16S ribosomal RNA
Rfam family: Bacterial small subunit ribosomal RNA
Source: RNAcentral